CCUACGGUGGGCUGCAGUGGGGAAUAUUGCACAAUGGGCGCAAGCCUGAUGCAGCCAUGCCGCGUGUGUGAAGAAGGCCUUCGGGCUGUAAAGCACUUUCAGCGGGGAGGAAGGCGGUGAGGUUAAUAACCUCAUCGAUUGACGUUACCCGCAGAAGAAGCACCGGCUAACUCCGUGCCAGCAGCCGCGGUAAUACGGAGGGUGCAAGCGUUAAUCGGAAUUACUGGGCGUAAAGCGCACGCAGGCGGUCUGUCAAGUCGGAUGUGAAAUCCCCGGGCUCAACCUGGGAACUGCAUUCGAAACUGGCAGGCUAGAGUCUUGUAGAGGGGGGUAGAAUUCCAGGUGUAGCGGUGAAAUGCGUAGAGAUCUGGAGGAAUACCGGUGGCGAAGGCGGCCCCCUGGACAAAGACUGACGCUCAGGUGCGAAAGCGUGGGGAGCAAACAGGAUUAGAUACCCUUGUAGUC
Molecule: ribosomal RNA, 465 nt
Filed under: uncultured Klebsiella sp.
Lineage: Bacteria; Pseudomonadati; Pseudomonadota; Gammaproteobacteria; Enterobacterales; Enterobacteriaceae
Description: bacterial SSU rRNA
Rfam family: Bacterial small subunit ribosomal RNA
Source: RNAcentral